Sinocyclocheilus rhinocerous is the source of this 1228-nucleotide long non-coding RNA. RefSeq lists it as uncharacterized. NCBI's taxonomy places the organism in Eukaryota, Metazoa, Chordata, Actinopteri, Cypriniformes, Cyprinidae. The record is from RefSeq and is a predicted model, not a curated record. The transcript has 2 exons.
CUCUCCGCUCUGGAGAACUACAACUUUGAGCUGGUGGACGGAGUCAAACUUAAGAAAGAAAAACUCAGUGCACAGAAAUCUUACACAGAGGCAUAAGGAAUGCUGGAUGAACACAGGACACAUUUGCAGGACAAUGUUGGAGGAACGUUCUUAGAAUGUUUUUGCGACGUUCCUCAAGGUGAAGACUGAGCGUUAUUCUCAGGAUGUGAAGGAAGAGGGACUGGCCUCUAGAGGGCGCCAUGUAUAGAUUGUACAGCCAGACGAUGAUUGUCUACUUGUUUGUUUGUUCGUUUGUACAUUUGUUGCUGGUGAUGAGACCAAGACAAAAUGAUGUAUCCUCUCACACAGUUGGAUUUUUUUUUUCUACAAGCCCCCUUUUCAGAGCUGUACACAACUGGGUUUUCAGUGUUAUUGUGCUCAUUUAUGCUUGGAGACGUGUUUGUUCAGUUGGUAACGCACUCUUCAUUCCAAUGGUGCCUUUAAAUGUGUGUUUGUUGCCUUUUUACACAUGGGUUCCUCCUUACACAGACAGUCAAUUGCUCUUGAGCACAAACUGUUCACAGAUACAGGCCAAUACAGGUCAGAGCUGCCCAUGUGACAUGUCUGUAAACUUGUGUUGCCAUGGUAUCGAGUGACAUCAUGUUUCAGAAUGGCAUCAUAGUGUCUGCAGACCAUCUGUGAAAAUAGUGUCUUCUAGACUGGACCCCUCCUGAUCAGGAGACGCUGGGGAGAAGCUCACUCUGGGAACGUCUGGGAAUGGAAGCGGAGACAAAGCAAAUGAAGCAUCUAAGAGCGCUAAUGUUGGAGCAUCUCCCCAAGGAAAUUAAUUAUAUUUGAAGGAUGUAAAAGGCACAAACUGAUCCAUGCUCUUAAGCAUUGACAGGACAACUUAAGGAAGACGAGGCGACAAGUGCUGACAAAGGCAUCUGGGUCUAUUUCACACACAGCAGGAAAGCAGUUUGUUUUCAGCAGCUUGAAGGAGACACCAGAAACUUUUCUCCCACUCAAAUGAACCAACGUGUCAUUUUGCACUGAGAAUUAUAUUUAAUGAAAGAGUUAGAUAGUAAUAAAAGUGUUAACUACUUUAAAUGGUAAGAGAAAUCCAACUGUCAGUGUAACAGCUCACUUUUUUUUUGUUAUUUAAAAUGAAAUGGUAUUUUUCUUGAUUGUAAUAGUUGUUUUUGUGUUCUGAGGAACUGAAGUGACACUGAACUGGCUUUUCAUCACA